AACGAACAUAUUUUGCAUGUGCUCGUCGUCAUCUUCGUCGCCGGCCGGUGAGACCAUUCAUCCGUGGCAGAUUGGCCAGAAUUAUUGGCCGCCGGUCAGGUGUGGCGUUACGGCGUGCGGCCAUGGUUAUCCGGAUGAUGCUGGCCGGGUGAACGGAUGACGGACGGACGGCUAAAGGUUGUUUAGAGCAGGGCCCCAACUCCUUCAAAAAUAGCUUUGGCUCCGGUUGUUUUGGUGGAGCGACUUCUCUGAUGGAGCUGAAGUCGUUUUGGAUAAUAUUUGGCAAAAUAGCUUCACCAUGUGUUUCAUGAGUGGAUUGAGGGUCAAAUGUCCAAUAUACCCUUAACAAUUAUUUUUUAUUUUUUCUCUCAUUUCACUAUUUCCUUCCAUUCUUCUCUAUUUGUUUCCUCUCCCGUGCAGCUCCUUCCACCGGCGGGGCCUCCUCCCCAAUCACCGGCGCCAACUCCGCCUACCUCCACCCACGCCUCCUUCCGCAGCUGGCGGCAUCCGCUAGCGCCACCACCUCUUGGUCUCCAUCCGCCCCUCCUCACAACACUGGCGGUCUCUGCCCGCCCUUCUCUCACCGGCUAGUGUCGCCGCCUCCCGGUCUCCACCCGCCCCUCCUCUUCCCACCGGCCAGCGCCGCCACCUCCCUUGCUCCGCUCGCGUGGGAAGCCGCUGGCCUUCGCCCAUGCCUCCUCCCGGCGGCCUAGCCUCGGCCCGUGCUCUCACGGCCCCUCACGAGGACAAGGAGGUCCAACAGGUGGAAGGAGCUCCAUAGAGCCGCUUGGAGCCAUGUUUUCGUGACUCCGCCCCCUGUGUAAGCCGCAACUGGCUCUAGGUGCAGGUGCGGCCGGAGUUGGUGGAAAAUCCACCAUUUGGCAGGGCUCCGGGUGAAGCCGCUGCCAUAGCUGUUCUUGGAGCCCUGCCAAAGGGGCUCUAAGUUGGCUACGCCUGCAUGCAACGUGACUGUCUGGUGGCUCCUAUGAAAAAAAGCUGUGCCUUCAUUUACUCCAUUGAGAACCUAGCAACGAGUCUUCGAUAUAUGGGAUGAGAUGUUGAAAGAAAGGAAGAGGCCGGAAGUGUAUAUGAUGAUUCGUUCAACUGAAGAGGAACUUAUCUAACUGACAUAUAUAUGGGUCCAACCAUCACGAGUCCACGUGUCAGUGGGACUAUUUCCCUUGACAUCUCAUGAAAGAAACGACUUCUCAGUGCAGGGUGCUUAUGGUCAGAGCCCACGAGAAGUUUGUUGAUGCUCAUUUAAUUCUUGGGGUACUCUACUAGUUUGUCACACAAAGUGCCGGCUAUAUAUACAUGCACUGCACUGUCAUUUUACCAUCUUAUAAGAAAAGGGCAACUUACGAGCUAGCUAGCUAUUGCGAUCUUAUUUGGUCCCAUUACUUUCAUCUCAGCAACUCCAGUUUCUCUAACACUCUCAUCAGUGUUCUAGUAGUAUUCACUAAAGCAAACAGGGCAGUUGGAGUCGACCUUUAGGAUUAUUGAUUGAACCCUAGUUCAUAACCAUUUUAAGCAACAUUCACGCUUUCCGACAUAUAUAGAAUCCCUUUUGUUCAUAACCAUUUUAAGCAAUAUUCAACAUAUAUAUAAUCCACUGGAAGGGUUAGGUACAUAGGAUAUGUAUUGAUAGUUAUUUUUAUAUUUUGUUUAAAUUAUAGGAAGUACUCCAUAUUCAGAAAAAAAAAUAGCACUAGAAAGUGGCUAAUGGAAGAUGGGGUCCAUGUAAAGGCAGUUGGUAAGAUGAUGCUUGAAAACUCCAUAAUUAUUCUAUUAUGCUUAAAAAUUAUUUUCUAGUGAAAACUAGGGAUUACACAUGUGCUUGUGUUGACUGUUUCAAAGAGUUGGUCCACACAUUUAUGACAGACAAACUUGAACAUACUUAUAUUAAUUUUCAGUGAAAGUUGAAAUAGAUAUAUUAUUAUAUCCAAGUAUAUUUAAGACGGUUUGAUCCAACAGAUCAAUUAUACCUUUCUUGUAUGAAAUUUGUUAAUGAUGAUGUGUGAUAAAAGAGUAUGUUUAAUAAAUUAUAACUAGCGAUACGGUUUGUGUGAAUUCAAGAAUAUAGUGGACCUCUCUUAGAGCACAAAUGAGAUAUACUUUUAUAAUAAGAAUUAAUUUGUUUUUUCUA
Panicum virgatum (switchgrass) is the source of this 2146-nucleotide long non-coding RNA. RefSeq lists it as uncharacterized. The record is from RefSeq and is a predicted model, not a curated record. NCBI's taxonomy places the organism in Eukaryota, Viridiplantae, Streptophyta, Magnoliopsida, Poales, Poaceae. The transcript is spliced from 2 exons.